This 77-nucleotide transfer RNA is filed under the name Kordia sp. RNAcentral's name for it is "tRNA-Met". It matches the Rfam family "tRNA". Rfam says of the family: Transfer RNA (tRNA) molecules are approximately 80 nucleotides in length. Their secondary structure includes four short double-helical elements and three loops (D, anti-codon, and T loops). The record is from RNAcentral. Lineage: Bacteria; Pseudomonadati; Bacteroidota; Flavobacteriia; Flavobacteriales; Flavobacteriaceae.
GGUCCCAUAGCUCAGUUGGUUAGAGCAUCUGACUCAUAAUCAGAGGGUCCUAGGUUCGAGCCCUAGUGGGACCACCU